GGCAGUAUCGCAACCAAAAGCUGCAGCAAAGCCAGAACAGGAGGACGUGCAUUAAGAAAUAAACUCAUUAUAGUUGGUGUUACUGCUGUAGUCGUUAGUGGAGCAAUAGGACUGCUGCUUUCUUGUAAGAUCAAAUCACGGAGGCGAAUAAUUGGAUUA
Molecule: long non-coding RNA, 159 nt
Organism: Neltuma alba
Lineage: Eukaryota; Viridiplantae; Streptophyta; Magnoliopsida; Fabales; Fabaceae
Exons: 3
Source: RefSeq, a predicted model, not a curated record